Molecule: ribosomal RNA, 311 nt
Filed under: uncultured eukaryote
Lineage: Eukaryota
Description: partial 18S ribosomal RNA
Rfam family: Eukaryotic small subunit ribosomal RNA
Source: RNAcentral
CCCUUAGAUGUCCUGGGCCGCACGCGUGCUACACUGAUGCAUACAGCGAGUACUCCCAGCUCCGAGAGGCUGCUGGUAAUCAGCAAUAUGCAUCGUGAUGGGGAUAGAUCUUUGGAAUUAUAGAUCUUGAACGAGGAAUUCCUAGUAAUCGCAGGUCAUCACCCUGCGUUGACUAAGUCCCUGCCCUUUGUACGCACCGCCCGUCGCUCCUACCGAUUUCGAGUGAUCCGGUGAAUCAUUCGGACCGCGGCCCCUAGGCAUGCGGAAAGUCUAGUAAACCAUAUCACUUAGAGGAAGGAGAAGUCGUAACA